Molecule: ribosomal RNA, 370 nt
Filed under: uncultured organism
Description: bacterial SSU rRNA
Rfam family: Bacterial small subunit ribosomal RNA
Source: RNAcentral
CGGAGGGUGCGAGCGUUGUCCGGAAUCACUGGGCGUAAAGGGCGCGUAGGCGGCCUGAUAGUAGGGGUGAAAUCCUGCGGCUUAACCGCAGGGCUGCCUUCUAAACUGUCAGGCUCGAGCACAGUAGAGGCAGGUGGAAUUCCCGGUGUAGCGGUGGAAUGCGUAGAGAUCGGGAAGAACAUCAGUGGCGAAGGCGGCCUGCUGGGCUGUUGCUGACGCUGAGGCGCGACAGCGUGGGGAGCAAACAGGAUUAGAUACCCUGGUAGUCCACGCCGUAAACGAUGGGCACUAGGCGUCGGGGGGAGCGACCCUCCCGGUGCCGUCGCUAACGCAGUAAGUGCCCCGCCUGGGGAGUACGGCCGCAAGGCUG